GAAGGGCCCUCUUUUCCCCUGGGCUCCUGUUCCAGCUGCACGAUGUGAUCCACCAGCUAGGAGGGAUGCCAAUAAGGCGUCCGAUAAGAUAAGUCUUAUAAAAUAUAUAGAUGUAUGAUAAUUGAGACUGAGCUAACAGAUGAGAAUCCUAGUCAUUGGCCAAGCAGCAUUGUAACUAAUACAAGUCUCUCUGUGUAUUCAUUUGGGCCUAACUCAGACAGGCGGCUGUCGUAAAGCUCACAUGUGACAGUGGGGCUCAGGCGGCUUUUGGCAGAAAGAUUUAUAGUAACACAUACCCUCACAGAAGAGCUGACCCCUGCACUGUAGAGAGAUGGCUCCACCCCUCACCACAGGCAAGGGAGAACUGACCCUGAGGGCUUGAGUCUAAGGGAGCUGGCUCUUCCCCUUUGCCUGAGGUAGACAGUCCCAGUGACCUGGCCUGGCAGGCUCAACCACCACCCAGAAUAAUACCAGGAUUUUAAUGAUUUGGGGAAGCUGUUGUCAUUUCCUAAAUGUUAUUCUUCAAACCCUGUUGAAGAAGAGUACCUUCUCUGUUUCAUACUUUAGAUUUAGCCCUUCAUUCUUCCUCACUGGGAUCACUAACCACCCGGGUCUCAGUAUCUUUCUCUAAAUAUUACUUGUUUUAAAAAAUAUAUAAGAUUCAUGGUUUACCUGCCUUUUUCUUUUAGUCCACACUCUGCAUAUGUUCUUGACUGUUGACUAAUUUGGGGCAAUUAUUCACUUUCUAUUCUUUUUUGUGUUUAUUCUUUUUUGUUAUUUAUUUAUUUAUCUCUCAUAUAUUACAUCUGAUCUCAUUUCCCCUACCUCCUUUUCUCCCAAUUCCUCCACUCAUCUCUCUUCUCCCCUCAGCCACCCAAUCCUUCUCCAUUUCCCUUCAGUAAAGUUAAGGCCUCCCAGGGAUACCAACCAAGCACGGCAUAUCAAUUUGCAAUAAAAUUAGGCACCUCUCUUCAUAUUGAAACUGGAAAGGAGACUCAAAAUGAGGAAAAGGGUCCAAAAAAGCAGGCAAAAAAGUCAGAGACCGCCCUCACUCCCAUGGGUAAAAGUCAGACAAGAAGACCAGGCUAGACAACCAUAACAUAAAUGUAGAGGACUUUGGUCAGACCCAUGCAGGCUUGCUGAUUUUUUGUUCAGUCUCUGUGAGCUCCUAUGAGCUAGGUUAGUUGACUCUGUGCCUUUUUUUGUAGUGUACUUGUCCCUUAGCUCCUAAAAUCCUUCCUCCCCCUCUUCUGCAGGAUUCCUGAGUUCUGCCUAAUGUUUGGCUGUGGGUGUCUGCAUCUGUUUCCAUCAGAUGCUGGGUGAAGCCUCUCAGAUGAUGAUUAUGGCUAGGCUUAAUGCAUGAGUGUAUGAGUAUAGGAGAAUAUCAUUAUGUAUCAUUUUAUUGACUUUUUUGUCUAGGUUUUGUUCCAUUUGGUUCCAUUCUAGGUGUCUAGGAUAUCCAGCCUCAAGUUUGUGGUCAUCCAAGCAAUGUCAGGGGUGGGCUUCCUCCAGUGCCAUAGGACUUAAGCUGGAUUGCUCAUUGGCUGGCCAUUCUGCUGAUUUCUGCUAGACCUUUAACACAGCACAUCUUGUAGAUGGAACAAAUUGACCGUGACCUGAGAUUGUAUAAGGGAAAUCAGUUCCUGAAGGGGCUAUUUAACCCAUUAGGAUGGCUUGACUAUCUUCAUUUGAGCUCCCCAUAAAAGCUUGGGAACAGAGGAGGGAGAGAACUAGGAUAAGGAAAGCUGUUUGAACUCAGUUCACUGGGCCAGAUAGGACGAUGUUCACAGAGGCGAUAGAAAAACUGAGCCAGUGGGGACUUUAAAGCUGUUGAGAGCUUUAGCAGCUUUACUGAGUGCUUUGAUGGGCCAAGAUCUUUAUAAAGCAGGACAGACUUCUCCAGAUCUCCGUGACUUAGACCAGCAUCUAAAGAGGUUCCAUGAAAUGAAAGAGCAACCUAGAGAAGAGAUGAAAAAGACAAAGGAGAAGAAGACGUCUUCUGGGUUACUCGAAGAUAAAUGUGGCUGGAUGUGGUCAGGCUGAUAAUUAUCCCCUCUCCCAGAGUAAGGGGGGGUACAUUUUCCUAUAGCAUAAGUAUUUUUCUAAGGGUGGAGAUUGUUUACCCAGCCAGGAACUCCGCUCAAGACAAGAUGUAGUGGAUGAAGAAGCAACAGCUCCACCUCCGGCUCCGGCUCCGACUCCAGCUCCAGCUGCAGCCACAGUUUGAACUCAGGGCUGCUCUCACCCACGGAGACCGCAGGUGUGGCUGGGAAUGGCAGCAUCUGCUUCCCUCUUGGUGCACAACUGACUAAACAGAUACAGUCAGGACCACUGAAUUUAACAGGGGUUCAUAAAUAUAGGAAGGGUCUAUGAAGAGCUCCAGGAUAUGGAGUACUUUUUUAUUUCUUUCUUGUUUUUUUUUCUUUGAUUCACUCAUUAUUGUUUAAUUUCCGUGAAUUUAUGUAUUUGCUAGAAGUUUCUUUGUUGUAAAUUUUAAAUUUUAAUUCUUUGUGUUUGUACAGGAUAUAAGGAGUAGUUUUAAUCUUUUUGAUUAAUUUUUGUAUUUAAAUAUUUAUCCUGUGUCACUAAAUGUGUUGUAUUUUAGCAAAAUUUCUACACACUGAUGAGGAGAAUCUGCCUUCUUUCUUGUUUGGGUGGAAUAAUCUAUAGAUAUCUUCUAAGUUCAUUUCAAUUAAUUUUAAUUUUGGUUCUUCUCUGUUUAUUUCUUGUCCAGAUGGCCUGAUCAUUAGAGAAACCACAAUAUUGAAACCACCUACUAUUAAUGGGUUUGAUGUUAAUCUGUAUCUUUAAACAUAAUAACACAUGUUUUACUUUUGAAAUUCUGCACUUCAAAGUUUGGUGCAUAUAUGUUUAUAAUAUUAUUUGUCUUCUUGGUUAACAGCUCCCUUGGUUAGAAUAAAGUGGCCUCUUUAUCGCUUCUGAUUAGUUUUAUUUUUAGCUCUAUUUACCAAAUGCCAGGGAAGCAGCACUUGCCUGCUUCCUGGUCCCAUUUUAUUGGAAGGUUUUUAAUCCAUUCUUUAUCUACAAGGCAGCAUGUAUUUUUAAAGUCAUGAUGUGUUUUUUUGCAGAGAGCAGGAACAUUUCUUGAUCCACUCAGUCAGAUAUUGUUUUUUCAUUGAACAAUUGAGGAUUUCGAUAUUUGAAGUUAUUAUUGAAGCCUAUGCUAAUUGUUGUCUUAGUAUUGUUAUUUGUUUCCUUGGUGGUGCCUUGUGUUUUAAUAAUUAUGGCUAUGGAUUUCUUUCUACAAACUCUCUGCUAUGCUUAUUCCUCUUGUCAGGCCUAAAUAUUGCUUCUUAUAUUCUCUUUUGGUUUAAUUUGUUUCUAAAUUUUUGUUUUUGUUUUGUUUUGUUGGCAAUGUAUAGCAUGGAAUAUUUUUCUUUCUCUUUCAAUAGUUAUCAGACAGUUUUUCUGGAUCUAUUAGUCUAUUAGCCAUAGACUAAGUUUAAGGCUUGGAAUGCAUUGUUCCACAUUCUUCUGGCUUUCAAUAUUUCUGUUGAGAAAUCAUCUGUUGUUCCGAUGACUUCUCCUUUGUAUGUGGCUUGCAGUUUUUCUCUUCCUUUUUCAAUAUAUUUUCUUUGUUAUGUAUACUUUGUGUUUUAACUAUGAUAUGCCACAUGGAUUUAUUUCCUGUCUAUUUGAUGUUCUGUUCACUUUUUUAUCUAUAUAGGUGUGUUUUUCCUCAAAUUGGGAAAGUUUACAAAUGUUCUUGUUGAAGAUCUGGUCUAUGUUAUUGAUGUGGGAUUUUUCUCUUUCAUCUAUGCCCUUAAUUUGUAAAUUUUAUUGUUUUCAUGGUAUGCCACAUUUCCCAUAUUUUCUUUUCCUGUUUUUUUCCAUAUUAUUUGCUUAUUUGGUUUUGUCUCUCCUUUAUCUUUGAACCCUGAUGUCCUAUUUUCUGUUUGAUUCAUUCCACUUGUAAGACUUUCCUUUGAGUUUUCUAGCUGAUUGACUGGGUUUUUCAAUUCCGUCUUUAUUUCAGUUUGAUUCAUCUUCAAUGUUUUUUCUAUAUCCUUAUACUGAAUUCUGACCUCUAGUGUUGGAUUGUCCUUUUUAUUUCUAGUAGCCUUAUGUUUGUAUUUUUGGGGCAUCAUUUGGGUCUUUUUUUUUUCUUUAAGCUAUUUCUUCUAAGUUUUGUGUCCUGGGUUCAUCUAGUUGUUUAUCAUGGGUAAACAUUUGCAAAGGACUUGUAGUAUUGAGAGAGGAGAUGAUGACUUGAUCUUUUGUGUUGUUUAUGAGAUCUGGGCUUGUUGACUUCUUUCAUUAGUUCUAAGUCUUAGGUAUAGAACAGAUUAAGGCACAAUAGAGGAUUGUGUUGGGGGGCUAGAGGAUAGAAAUAUUUUUAUUGGUGGAAUUUACUCAGGUGGAUAGAGGAGUCUGGGAUUGUGUAUACAAUUUGUAUCCUGGUCCAAUCCUGGAGUAUAAAAGUAGACCUGCUGGAUGGAAUGGCGUGAUAUGGUAUGAGAGAAGCCCUUCAAUUGAGAAUUGGAAGGGAGGUUCCUGGAUGAACUCAAGAGAUCAUUUGUGGUCAGGCAAGGGUGGCUAGAUUGCUAUAAACUUUAGAUGUGUGGGCUAUCUCUGCUGUGUCAUGGGGAGUUCAUAAAUAGGUAGGGUGAGAAACCUCACUGUGUUAUACAUUGGAGAAAGACUUGGGCUCUAUGGCUGGUGGGAAGUAUGGCUGAAAUCCAGAAAGGAUCUGGGGUUGGUGACAGGUUGUAUGGGUAAGAAGGAUAUGGAUGAUCUGUCUGGGUGGUGAGACUGGCUGUGAUGCAAAAGAUACCCAUAGUUGUGGGACAUAACCUGGAAGAAGUCUAGAUGUUCAUUGCAGUGUAGACAGGGAUGAUCAGAUUAGUCCAGGAUACUAGAUAUGUGGCAUAGGCUAGAUCUGGUGGGUUGAGAAAGUGUGGGUAGGGAGAUCAGGGAGACCCACUGGGCCACAUCCUGGAAAAGAAAUGGGGGUUCUGGCUGGUUAGAAAUGUUGGAUGUGACACUUGCAAUAGACUUUAAGGGGAGAAACUUAUGAGAUACCUGUAGGUCAUUGAGAGUAUGACCUCAGGAAAGUGACUGCUCCCCAGAGAGAGCUAUACCAAAGUUACUUAAUGUAAAAACCCAAACGUGAGCACUUCAUCCUCUCUGUCUUCUGUUUAUAAAAGUAAGUGAGCUAUGCUCCUUGUAAACACUCCCAGUACACACCAGGGAGCCCUUGUCAGAGUCAGUAUUACAUUGUACUUUCAGCUAAAUAGACUUCUAUUCUAUGUAAAGCUACUCUGCCUGAAGCACUUUAUUCCUGCAGUAAAUACUAAUAUAGCACUACAACAAUAUUUCAUUUUUGUUAUUAUUUAUGCGACAAAGUGCAUUUGCAGUUUAGAUUUAGAUGUAUUCUGUAGGCUACUGUCUGUCCUUACUUUCCACCCAAAGUUUGCCAUAUACAUUGCAGUGGAGCUCUGAAUCUCAGACUGGUUUUGUUUGUGUGUUUGUUUUUCUAAUUAGCCAUUUGUUUAAUUUACCAAAAUGCUUGUGAAUAAAAUAUGUGACAACGAUGGAGAAGAUAAUCCCUUGACACAAGAAUCCUAUGCCUGAAGAUCCAACCCAUCUUCUCUGCCCCAGAACACAGCAAAAUAAAAUUUAAGAGAAAACAAUGAAAAAAAGGGGGAGAAAGGGAAAAUCUCAUCAUGGAAGCUGCAGUGUGAAACAGUGUAUCCAUAAUUUCACAAUGCUGGGCCCUCACUGAAUCUCUUCUUGGACAUCGUGUUGCUUCCCUGUAUCAUGGAGAUCCUGCUGCUCUGGGUCCUUAAGACUGGCCCCAUCUCUACCCCAUCCCCACCCCAUAGGGUGAAUGUCGAGGUUCAGCUAUGAUGUGCUACCUAGGCCUGGAGCAGGGCCUGCUUUCCUGAGUGUCACAGCUGCUGAGAUGGAGGGUCUGCAUAUCAGUUUAUUAAGAUGGAAUCGCUGCUAAUUACAUGGUAGAGAAGCUAAUUGCCAUAAUCAUUGUGGUUCUCCAGAAUACACAUUGGAAUCAAAUGGUUUAAAACCACAAGGAACUUUUCCUGAUGCCUGGUGACAAGGCUGAGGUGGAUGAAUCUGUGCAGCUACUUCAAUCUGUUAAAGAGUUUGUGGGCCACACAGUGGUCACGUGCAUACAAGAAGUCAAAGAGCUCCUCUGUACAAUCCUUUUCGUCUGUGUUGGGGAAGACAUGCUUAUCACAAAGCUCUAGCCGCUCCCUGGCCUUUACACACUUCUCUAACUGCUCACAUUGCUCUCUCACUGUAGUUAGGGGGUCCACUAAUUCCUCCUGCUCUUCUUCCUCUUUGGAGUCUCUGGAUCCAGUAAGCAUCUUUCGUUCGUCCUCUAGUCCCAUGUCAGGAAGCUGUUCAGGACUCAACACCAGGAGAAACAUUUCUUAUUCCACUUCAGGAUCAAAAAUCCUGUUUCCCACUUUUUUCCUCCCUUUUUUUAUUAGAAAGAAAAUUACUUUACAUUUCAAUCUCAGUUCCCUCUCCCUCUCUCCUCCCCUGACCCCCCCCAACUAACCCUGUACCCAUCACAUACCCUUUCUGCUCCCCAGGGAGGGUGAGGCCUUUGAUAGGGGGUCUUCAAAGUCUGUCAUAUUCUUUGGGAUAGGGCCUAGACAAACCUGCUUGUAUCUGGGCUCAGGGAGUAUCCCUCCAUAUGGUUGGUCCGAAAGUAGUGUUGUUUACAACUAAUUGAUCACAAUCUGUUUCCCACUUUUAUUCAUGUAUAGUUCUUUUAGUAGGCUUGAGGCCUCAAGGAUUUUUGUUCAUCCAGUUUGGUGUAUUCAUUAAACUCAUCCAUAUUUUAAAUAAAAUUCAGUGAGAUUAAAGACAACCACAGAGAAAGGUAUAUUAGCAUGAUAAAUAAGUGGGAGAGGAUCGAGUGAGAGACCAGGGAGAGGAAUAGGAGAAGGUAACCAAUUGAGAGAAACAGAGGUGCUAGUCAGUGAGGACUUGUUACUAGAUGUCUUUUUCUCCAUGUCCCAGACACUUCCUCUAUCUCCAGGCUAACUAUGCAAACUUUAUAUUACUAUGGUUUGUUGUUUUUGUUGUUAUUUGUUCUGUUGGAGAAAGUGGCUCAUCAUGAAGAGAUUAAAAAGAGG
Molecule: long non-coding RNA, 7130 nt
Filed under: Cricetulus griseus (Chinese hamster)
Lineage: Eukaryota; Metazoa; Chordata; Mammalia; Rodentia; Cricetidae
Description: lncRNA (ENSCGRG00015040928.1)
Source: RNAcentral